RNAcentral lists this ribosomal RNA (467 nucleotides) under uncultured bacterium. Its description in RNAcentral is "partial 16S ribosomal RNA". It matches the Rfam family "Bacterial small subunit ribosomal RNA", at positions 28 to 506 of the family's 1533-position model. The record is from RNAcentral.
GACGAACGCUGGCGGCGUGCUUAACACAUGCAAGUCGAACGGAAAGGCCCUGCUUUUGUGGGGUGCUCGAGUGGCGAACGGGUGAGUAACACGUGAGUAACCUGCCCUUGACUUUGGGAUAACUUCAGGAAACUGGGGCUAAUACCGGAUAGGAGCUCCUGCUGCAUGGUGGGGGUUGGAAAGUUUCGGCGGUUGGGGAUGGACUCGCGGCUUAUCAGCUUGUUGGUGGGGUAGUGGCUUACCAAGGCUUUGACGGGUAGCCGGCCUGAGAGGGUGACCGGCCACAUUGGGACUGAGAUACGGCCCAGACUCCUACGGGAGGCAGCAGUGGGGAAUAUGGCACAAUGGGCGGAAGCCUGAUGCAGCAACGCCGCGUGCGGGAUGACGGCCUUCGGGUGGUAAACCGCUUUCGCCUGUGACGAAGCGUGAGGGACGGGAAUGGGGAAAGAAGCACCGGCGAACUACGG